Molecule: ribosomal RNA, 841 nt
Filed under: uncultured proteobacterium 1405-72
Lineage: Bacteria; Pseudomonadati; Pseudomonadota
Description: bacterial SSU rRNA
Rfam family: Bacterial small subunit ribosomal RNA
Source: RNAcentral
UAGGGUGCAAGCGUUGUCCGGAAUUAUUGGGCGUAAAGAGCUCGUAGGUGGUUCAUCACGUCGGAUGUGAAAAUCUGGGGCUUAACCCCAGACCUGCAUUCGAUACGGGCGAGCUAGAGUGUGGUAGGGGAGACUGGAAUUCCUGGUGUAGCGGUGGAAUGCGCAGAUAUCAGGAGGAACACCAAUGGCGAAGGCAGGUCUCUGGGCCAUUACUGACACUGAGGAGCGAAAGCGUGGGGAGCGAACAGGAUUAGAUACCCUGGUAGUCCACGCCGUAAACGAUGGGCACUAGUUGUGGGAACCUUCCACGGUUUCUGCGACGCAGCUAACGCAUUAAGUGCCCCGCCUGGGGAGUACGAUCGCAAGAUUAAAACUCAAAGGAAUUGACGGGGCCCCGCACAAGCAGCGGAGCAUGCGGCUCAAUUCGACGCAACGCGAAGAACCUUACCAAGGCUUGACAUAUACAGGAAUAUGACAGAGAUGUCAUAGCCGCAAGGUCUGUAUACAGGUGGUGCAUGGUUGUCGUCAGCUCGUGUCGUGAGAUGUUGGGUUAAGUCCCGCAACGAGCGCAACCCUCGUUCUGUGUUGCCAGCAUUUAGUUGGGGACUCACAGGAGACUGCCGGGGUUAACUCGGAGGAAGGUGGGGAUGACGUCAAAUCAUCAUGCCCCUUAUGUCUUGGGCUGCACGCAUGCUACAAUGGCUGGUACAAACGGCUGCGAUACCGCAAGGUGGAGCGAAUCCGAGGAAGCCAGUCUCAGUUCGGAUUGGGGUCUGCAACUCGACCCCAUGAAGUCGGAGUUGCUAGUAAUCGUAGAUCAGCAACGCUACGGUGAAUACGU